UACGAAGGGUGCAAGCGUUGUUCGGAUUUAUUGGGCGUAAAGCGCGCGCAGGCGGAUUAUUAAGCCAGAUGUGAAAUCUCGGGGCUCAACCCCGAAACUGCGUCUGGAACUGAUAAUCUAGAAUCUUAGAGGGGGAAGCGGAAUUUCGCAUGUAGGGGUAAAAUCCGUAGAGAUGCGAAGGAACACCAGCGCCGAAGGGG
This 200-nucleotide ribosomal RNA is filed under the name uncultured bacterium. RNAcentral's name for it is "partial 16S ribosomal RNA". It matches the Rfam family "Bacterial small subunit ribosomal RNA", at positions 524 to 723 of the family's 1533-position model. The record is from RNAcentral.